AGUGAACGCUGGCGGCGUGCCUAAUACAUGCAAGUCGAACGGAGAUUAAGUAGCUUGCUAUUUAAUCUUAGUGGCGCACGGGUGAGUAAUAUAUAGCUAACUUGCCCAUUACUAAGGGACAACAGUUGGAAACGACUGCUAAUAUCUUAUACUCCGUGUCUAUAUAAGUAGAUACGGGAAAGUUUUUCGGUAAUGGAUAGGGCUAUAUCGUAUCAGCUAGUUGGUAAGGUAAUGGCUUACCAAGGCUAUGACGCGUAACUGGUCUGAGAGGAUGAUCAGUCACACUGGAACUGAGACACGGUCCAGACUCCUACGGGAGGCAGCAGUAGGGAAUAUUGCUCAAUGGGGGAAACCCUGAAGCAGCAACGCCGCGUGGAGGAUGACACUUUUCGGAGCGUAAACUCCUUUUCUUGGGAAAGAAUUAUGACGGUACCCAAGGAAUAAGCACCGGCUAACUCCGUGCCAGCAGCCGCGGUAAUACGGAGGGUGCAAGCGUUACUCGGAAUCACUGGGCGUAAAGGACGCGUAGGCGGAUUAUCAAGUCUCUUGUGAAAUCUAACGGCUUAACCGUUAAACUGCUUGGGAAACUGAUAAUCUAGAGUAAGGGAGAGGCAGAUGGAAUUCUUGGUGUAGGGGUAAAAUCCGUAGAGAUCAAGAAGAAUACCCAUUGCGAAAGCGAUCUGCUGGAACUUAACUGACGCUAAUGCGUGAAAGC
This 715-nucleotide ribosomal RNA is filed under the name uncultured Campylobacterota bacterium. RNAcentral describes it as "bacterial SSU rRNA". It matches the Rfam family "Bacterial small subunit ribosomal RNA", at positions 28 to 760 of the family's 1533-position model. The record is from RNAcentral. Lineage: Bacteria; Pseudomonadati; Campylobacterota.